RNAcentral lists this unclassified non-coding RNA (268 nucleotides) under Dujonia railenensis. RNAcentral's name for it is "[Candida] railenensis partial internal transcribed spacer region". The stretch from base 1 to 46 matches the Rfam family "Eukaryotic small subunit ribosomal RNA", at positions 1786 to 1831 of the family's 1831-position model. Lineage: Eukaryota; Fungi; Ascomycota; Pichiomycetes; Serinales; Debaryomycetaceae. The record is from RNAcentral.
AAGUCGUAACAAGGUUUCCGUAGGUGAACCUGCGGAAGGAUCAUUACAGUAUUCUUUUGCCAGCGCUCAAUUGCGCGGCGAAAAACCUUACACACUAUGUUUUUUUAAUUUGAAACUAUUGCUUUGGUCUGGCUUAGAAAUAGGUUGGGCCAAAGGUUUUAUCAAAACUUCAAUAUUUAUUAUUGAAUUGUUAUUUUUAAUUUUAUGUCAAUUUGUUGAUUAAUAUCAAAAAUCUUCAAAACUUUCAACAACGGAUCUCUUGGUUCUC